RNAcentral lists this ribosomal RNA (460 nucleotides) under uncultured bacterium. Its description in RNAcentral is "partial 16S ribosomal RNA". It matches the Rfam family "Bacterial small subunit ribosomal RNA", at positions 338 to 795 of the family's 1533-position model. The record is from RNAcentral.
CCUACGGGUGGCAGCAGUGAGGAAUAUUGGUCAAUGGGCGCGAGCCUGAACCAGCCAAGUAGCGUGAAGGAUGACUGCCCUACGGGUUGUAAACUUCUUUUAUAAAGGAGUAAAGUGAGGCACGUGUGCCUUUAUGUAUGUACUUUAUAAAUAAGGAUCGGCUAACUCCGUGCCAGCAGCCGCGGUAAUACGGAGGUUGCGAGCGUUAUCCGGAUUUAUUGGGUUGAAAGGGAGCGUAGAUGGGUUGUUAAGUCAGUUGUGAAAGUUUGCGGCUCAACCGUAAAAUUGCAAUUGAUACUGGCAGCCUUGAGUACAGUUGAGGUAGGUGGAAUUCGUGGUGUAGCGGUGAAAUGCUUAGAUAUCACGAAGAACUCCGAUUGCGAAGGCAGCCUACUAAACUGCCACUGACAUUGAUGCUCGAAAGUAUGGGUAUCAAACAGGAUUAGAUACCCGAGUAGUC